AACCAAAUCAGCCUUCCUAGGAGUACUGGACUCAAUCAAAUGAAGUUUCUUUGUAGGUGCGGACUCGACCAAAUCAGGCUUCUGUAACGGUUCUUGUUCGAUUUUUUUCAGGAGGUCCAGACACAAUCAAAUCAGGCUUUGGUGCAGAUGACUCGAUCAAAUCAUACUUCAGUAUGCUCACAGUAAUCACAUAAAGUAAGCUACCAUUUGAGGUGGAUUCACCAUCCGGCAGGCUUUCGCCAUUGCUUCUGCUGCACUCAUCAUCAUGCUGGCUCUGGACAUUGCUCUCACUGCAUGCAUCACCAUGUGGACUGUCAGUGUUAUAAGGAGCAUUCUCACUGAUAUUGGCGGUAAGUGGUGAUC
RNAcentral lists this long non-coding RNA (363 nucleotides) under Triticum aestivum (bread wheat). Its description in RNAcentral is "long non-coding RNA (TAES_LNC023155)". The record is from RNAcentral. Lineage: Eukaryota; Viridiplantae; Streptophyta; Magnoliopsida; Poales; Poaceae.